Molecule: long non-coding RNA, 861 nt
Organism: Mauremys reevesii (Reeves's turtle)
Lineage: Eukaryota; Metazoa; Chordata; Testudines; Geoemydidae
Exons: 5
Source: RefSeq, a predicted model, not a curated record
AAUCACCUGAGUUACUGGUAUAGCUCUGUCACCAUCACCUCUGUUGAGACUGUUGAGAGCUUUUUAGUAACUAGGGAAUAUAUAAUAAGAGUUUGGGGUCUUCUGUCAUUGAAAUAAUCAAAGCCAAGAAUAAGCGUGAAAUGUUGGAGCAAAAAAUGGACGACCUACUGAGUCAUCAGAGACAAUUUGUCGAAAAUAAUCGUCGGUCCUUAGAACAGAAAAGAAAAGAAAAGAAAAGAAAAGAAAAGAAAAGAAAAGGAAAAGUCUUCUACAUUUCUAAGAAGUGUUUCAUCAGCUACAUGACUUACUGACAGGGGAUCUGCCGUGCGACCAGAUAAACCAGGACUUGCAGCAAGCCAACGAUGCUCUACGAGCAGAACUCAACAAAGAAAUGGAGGAAAAAAACCUUCUUCGCUGCCAGUCUGAUCAAAAAUCUCAAGAAAUCCAUCAGCUGCAAGAAGAACUGAAAACAGCUAAACAGUUUCUGAAGGAGACCCAGAAUUAUGCGGAAGAGAUGAAAAAGAAGAGUUUGUCUCAGGAAAUACAAUUUGAAAAGAAAGAAGCUGAGAUUCGGGAUUUAGAGGGGAAAAAUCAAGAUUUGACUGAGGAACUUGAGAAAGUGCAGUCAGAGUUGCAACUUAAACAAGCUGAGAUCGCUCAUCUCCAAAAUCUAUCUGCAGCCGAGUUGGCUUGUUUAAAAAAGGAAAUAGUAAACAUCAAGGCAGAGCAAAAGAAACUUCAAGAGCAACUUAACAACUCGCUUCAAGAAAAUGAGCAACUGAGCAAGGUAAUAAAAAGAAAGAAUGAAUCAGUAGCACGUUACUUAGUUCAUGACAGGGAAAAUGGAAACUAUUUCAAAUG